UGCAGUCGAGCGCACUCUUCGGAGUGAGCGGCGGACGGGUUAGUAACGCGUGGGAACGUGCCCUUCUCUAAGGAAUAGCCACUGGAAACGGUGAGUAAUACCUUAUACGCCCUUCGGGGGAAAGAUUUAUCGGAGAAGGAUCGGCCCGCGUUAGAUUAGAUAGUUGGUGGGGUAAUGGCCUACCAAGUCUACGAUCUAUAGCUGGUUUUAGAGGAUGAUCAGCAACACUGGGACUGAGACACGGCCCAGACUCCUACGGGAGGCAGCAGUGGGGAAUCUUGGACAAUGGGCGCAAGCCUGAUCCAGCCAUGCCGCGUGAGUGAUGAAGGCCUUAGGGUCGUAAAGCUCUUUCGCCAGAGAUGAUAAUGACAGUAUCUGGUAAAGAAACCCCGGCUAACUCCGUGCCAGCAGCCGCGGUAAUACGGAGGGGGUUAGCGUUGUUCGGAAUUACUGGGCGUAAAGCGCACGUAGGCGGAUCAGAAAGUAUAGGGUGAAAUCCCAGGGCUCAACCCUGGAACUGCCUUGUAAACUCCUGGUCUUGAGUUCGAGAGAGGUGAGUGGAAUUCCGAGUGUAGAGGUGAAAUUCGUAGAUAUUCGGAGGAACACCAGUGGCGAAGGCGGCUCACUG
Molecule: ribosomal RNA, 628 nt
Filed under: uncultured bacterium
Lineage: Bacteria
Description: bacterial SSU rRNA
Rfam family: Bacterial small subunit ribosomal RNA
Source: RNAcentral